Molecule: microRNA precursor, 60 nt
Filed under: Saimiri boliviensis boliviensis (Bolivian squirrel monkey)
Lineage: Eukaryota; Metazoa; Chordata; Mammalia; Primates; Cebidae
Description: miRNA (ENSSBOG00000004715.1)
Source: RNAcentral
GUGCAAAAGUAACGGUGGUUUUUGCAUCAAAAUGGCAAAAACUGCAAUUACUUUCACACC